Molecule: long non-coding RNA, 1311 nt
Organism: Pan troglodytes (chimpanzee)
Lineage: Eukaryota; Metazoa; Chordata; Mammalia; Primates; Hominidae
Exons: 4
Source: RefSeq, a predicted model, not a curated record
UACCCGGGAGGAACCUGCGUGUGAAUGAGACGGCUGUCAGCAAGCCUACACUCAAAGGAUUUACCCGGUGCAGAGAGCUCCAAGAGAACACCAGAGCCCCUGGUAUUCUGGUUCACUUGAAUAUGUCCUCCUGCCUAUUCCAUAUUUUUUUCACACAUAUAAUCAUUUGUUUGCAGUCUGGAACUAUAAAACCAUUCAAGAAACGGAGGCCCAACUAUUGGGUUUGCGUCCUCAUCUGCCUUUCCAGACCAGCAGUUCCUAAAAGCCAGUGUGAGAACCAUCUGCAUCAGAGUGACCAGUCUGUGAAGAUCAAGCAUAGGAAUGCCAGGACUCCACCCUAGAUGUCCUUUAUCUGGGGUGGUGCCCAGGCUUCCCGAUUAUUCUACAAACUCUACCAAAUCCUUGUUCUUCGUUGCACAAUUAGCUGUGAAACAGACAGAGGUUACCUACAAUAAGUGCAUGUCAUUUUGGACUAGCCAUAUUUCAAGGGCUCAAUAUGGCUAAUGGCCACCAUAUUGGACAUCGACGGUCAAACCCAUUUUACAUUCACCUGACAACUAUGAUUGGUGUGAGGCCUAUGAUGGCCCAACUAGGCUGACAGCAAAGAUCUUUCCUGUUGGCAAAGAUCAUCUUUCUCUCUCCUGCUGGCAAGAACAAGAAAGAAUAAAGGUCUGAUCAACCCAUGAGCUUUCUUGGGAUUUAUGAGGAGAACCAGACUUUGGAUGAAACUGACAUUGAAAUGAGCAGGAUGGAGAGAAAAAUCCCAGGGGUUUGGUGACAAUACUGGGCUGCUGAUUAAACUUGGAGUUUGCCCUGACUCUGAACUUUCUAUUUAGUGAGAUAAUAAUUGUCUCAAUUGUUUAAGCUAGCUUGUGUUGCUUCCAGCUAAAAGAGUGCCAGCUAUAUACAAUGUGCAAGCUGACAUGUUGUCAUGCUCUGACACUGAUGAACACACCCCCACAAGGCUGUGAAGUAAUAGGGGAAGAACUAACCUGCAUGGAGUUGGAAGGGGGGGAAAAAACAAAAUCAAACCAUAUGGAAAGCAGUUGAAUUCACUGCAUUAAAUAUACUUUUUAAAAUGUACAACAUAAUAGCCAUAUGUUUAAGUCAGAAUCAUCUGCAAAGCACGCAUGUUCACUUUCUGUUCCAGAGUCAGGCGUCUGAAUUCUGUGAGCAAAGCCUAGAGAAAAAAACUAAGGCUAUGCCAGAUUUACAGGAAUAGUUAUCUUUAUAAAGACUAUAUGAACUGUAAUACAAAGUUACAAAGCUGAAGGCAAAGCUAUUCAAUAAAGCAAGUGGCUCUCAAAGAGA